UCUACAGUUAAGCGUGCUUGGGC
This 23-nucleotide non-coding RNA is filed under the name Arabidopsis thaliana (thale cress). The record is from RNAcentral. Lineage: Eukaryota; Viridiplantae; Streptophyta; Magnoliopsida; Brassicales; Brassicaceae.